Molecule: RNA transcript, 2289 nt
Organism: Tachysurus fulvidraco (yellow catfish)
Lineage: Eukaryota; Metazoa; Chordata; Actinopteri; Siluriformes; Bagridae
Gene: pcmt1
Gene name: protein-L-isoaspartate (D-aspartate) O-methyltransferase
Exons: 8
Source: RefSeq, a predicted model, not a curated record
CGUCAUUGACGCUCCCUCUCCAGCAUGGCUACCAUGAUUUCUGCAAAAUGCAUAAUAAAUCCCUGAAUAGACGCGUUGGUGUGAAACACAACACAACCAGCAUACUGAGAGCGCGAGAGAUCUCCGAAGGCACCGGUAGCGCGCGAGCAUGCCCUCUGACGUACCGGCUCCGUCUGUAUGGGAAGUGGUGAGCGUGCUGGGCAGAGCGUUGUGCGCAUGCGCGGCUCUCACUGCCGCUCUCUACCUGAUCCGCAGAGUGUGUUUAAUAAUGGCCUGGAAAUCAGGAGGAGCCAGCCAAGCGGAGCUCGUCAACAACCUCCGCAAGAAUGGCAUCAUUAAGUCGGACCGCGUGUAUGAAGUCAUGCUUAGCACAGACCGAGCCCAUUUCUCCAGAUGUAACCCUUAUAUGGAUUCUCCACAGUCUAUAGGAUACCAGGCAACCAUCAGUGCACCACAUAUGCAUGCAUAUGCACUAGAGUUGUUACAUGAUCAGUUACAUGAAGGUGCCAAAGCUCUGGAUGUGGGAUCAGGCAGCGGCAUCCUGUCCGUCUGCUUCGCCAGAAUGGUGGGGCCAAAGGGAAAAGUCAUUGGGAUUGACCACAUAAAGGAACUGGUGGACGACUCCAUCAACAACGUUAAGAAAGAUGACCCAACACUGAUCUCAUCAGGACGCAUCAAACUUCUCGUUGGAGAUGGCAGGUUGGGCUAUCCGGAGGAGGCUCCCUACGACGCGAUACAUGUAGGAGCUGCAGCUCCUUCUGUUCCACAGGCUUUACUGGACCAGCUGAAGCCUGGCGGACGUCUUAUCCUGCCUGUCGGACCAGCUGGAGGGAACCAGAUGCUGGAGCAGCAUGACAAGUUGGAGGACGGCAGCACCAAAAUGAAGCCCCUAAUGGGGGUGAUUUACGUGCCUUUAACAGACAAAGACAAGCAGUGGUCCAGGUGGAAGUGACUUCCUGUCCCUCUCUUCCCCCUCCCUCCUUUCCCCAGGGAACAGGUGAAAUGGUGUGGUCUGGAGCAAGACAAAGGCUGCUUUUGCUGGAUGAACUCUAAAACAACAGUCUGGCAAUAUUCACCAUCACACACACACACACACACACACACACACACAGCAUCCAUCUGGAUUUAACAACUAACCACAAGAUGGUAAACAGAUGACGAAGAAAAGCCACACUCUCUGCACUCUCGCUCUCGGGACAGUCUGACUGCUGUGUGGACAUAGAGCCUUCAGGAUGGAAGAAAUGAAACGGACUGCUUAAAAAAAAAAAAAAAACUCAAUGAGGGGCUUUGUCUUGACAUUUUCAUGCCUGCAAUUUGCUUUGGAUUUGUGAAUUUUUUUUAUUUUUUUGUUGAUUUGCAGGUGCACCUUCUUUUGUGAGAACUACAGUAUUGCAGCUGUUUUUUUUUGUUUGUUUGUUUGUUUUUUUUUGCGAUUGUUUACAUGCAUUUCAGGUUGUUUGGAGCUGGUGCUGUUUCUCAUUUGGACUAUAGGAAUGGGAGUGAUAUUAAAGGAUAAGUCCACACUGUUCUCUGCUCAUGUUAAAGGGGUGCUGCUAAACCAUGCUGAAUGCAUCAUUAUUAAUAUCAUUAAUAUAUAUAUAUAUAUUUUUUUUUUUUUUUGUCUUAAGACAUCUUAAGUUAAAAUUUUGGAAUUUUAGCUGGGAUUUUUUUUUUUCAAAUCCAAGGCUGCGACUGAGAUGAGAUUGAAGACUUUUCAGGACCCCGUUUCAAGAUUAAAACGCUUUCCUUUUUUGCUAAUUAGCUACAGAAAAAUCAGACAAUUAUUUAAAUUAAAAAAAAAACACUAAUAUAAUAAAUGAAAAUAUAAAGAUUGACCAGUCACAUUAUUAUGCUUCCAUAUGCAAUAUAAAAGCGGUACACUGAAAAGUAGUCCACUUUCUUUGUGCAUUUUGAGAUGACUUACUUAGGAACAGUUGUACAGUUCCUGAGCCUCCAUUCAGAUUCCACAGCUGCAGUACAGUUUAGCGUAGAUUUGCUCAGGCUGGUGUGCUACCAAUUAACACUUUGCUGAUUAACAAGAGCUUGUUGCUAACGCCACUCUAGAGCGAUUGCUUACAUUUGCGCUGUCUAACAUUCUCCAAAGGUUCACGCAAAAUGCAGCAAGCACACACGUGAACUAUCGCUCUCUUUCUCUCUCUGUUUCUCUGUCUCACUCACACACAGCACUGAGCUUGUGUCCCUUUCACUGUGGACAUGCUGGCUGUCACCAUGCUGAUUGUGACACACAUGUGGCUUUGUACAAAUAAAAACCCAACACAGUGCAAAUCA